GAUGAACGCUAGCGGCAGGCCUAACACAUGCAAGUCGAACGGCAGCGGGCCCUCGGGUGCCGGCGAGUGGCGAACGGGUGAGUAAUGCAUCGGAACGUGCCAUUGAGUGGGGGAUGACGUAGCGAAAGUUGCGCUAAUACCGCAUAUUCUGUGAGCAGGAAAGCAGGGGACCGCAAGGCCUUGCGCUCUUUGAGCGGCCGAUGUCAGAUUAGCUAGUUGGUGAGGUAAAGGCUCACCAAGGCGACGAUCCGUAGCGGGUCUGAGAGGAUGAUCCGCCACACUGGGACUGAGACACGGCCCAGACUCCUACGGGAGGCAGCAGUGGGGAAUUUUGGACAAUGGGCGCAAGCCUGAUCCAGCCAUGCCGCGUGAGUGAAGAAGGCCUCGG
This 388-nucleotide ribosomal RNA is filed under the name uncultured bacterium. Its description in RNAcentral is "bacterial SSU rRNA". It matches the Rfam family "Bacterial small subunit ribosomal RNA", at positions 28 to 420 of the family's 1533-position model. The record is from RNAcentral.